UCAUUCAAUCAUUGGAUUGGUGACCCGUGCCCGGUAACAUCUGUGAACUGGGCAUGAGAAAGUGAUGGCCAUAUUUGAAAAUGAGUUGUCCUUCACGGCUGAACUCACUUUCCAGGUUAUCUUCAACCAAUGGUCUUUGAAGAGCAAGGAC
Phyllostomus discolor (pale spear-nosed bat) is the source of this 151-nucleotide long non-coding RNA. RefSeq lists it as uncharacterized. The record is from RefSeq and is a predicted model, not a curated record. Lineage: Eukaryota; Metazoa; Chordata; Mammalia; Chiroptera; Phyllostomidae. The transcript has 3 exons.